Molecule: ribosomal RNA, 427 nt
Filed under: uncultured prokaryote
Description: bacterial SSU rRNA
Rfam family: Bacterial small subunit ribosomal RNA
Source: RNAcentral
UAGGGAAGAUGAGAAAUGGACGAAAGUCUGAUCUAGAGACACCGCGUGGGUGAUGAAGGCCUUCGGGUCGUAAAGCCCUGUCAGGUGGGAAGAAUGUCCCGGGACUGAACAGGUUCCGGGAGUGACGGUACCACAAGAGGAAGCACCGGCUAACUCCGUGCCAGCAGCCGCGGUAAUACGGAGGAUGCAAGCGUUAUCCGGAUUCAUUGGGUUUAAAGGGUGCGCAGGCGGAAUGAUAAGUCAGUGGUGAAAUCCUACGGCUCAACUGUAGAACUGCCAUUGAUACUGAGGGUCGUGAGUGUAAAUAAGGUAGGCGGAAUGUGUUGUGUAGCGGUGAAAUGCUUAGAUAUAACACAGAACACCAAUUGCGAAGGCAGCUUACUGGUAUACAACUGACGCGGAGGCACGAAAGCGUGGGGAUCAAACA